RNAcentral lists this long non-coding RNA (1184 nucleotides) under Homo sapiens (human). RNAcentral describes it as "long intergenic non-protein coding RNA 1280". The record is from RNAcentral. Lineage: Eukaryota; Metazoa; Chordata; Mammalia; Primates; Hominidae.
AGACGCAGGGGACGUGUCAGACGUGCGACAGGAAGGGCUCAGCGAGGCGAGAGCGAAGCUGUGAGGAAGGAAGGCAGGGUAGAGACCAGAAUCGAGGAAGAUCGGAGUGGAAGAAAAUGGAGCUGGUGUCUCAGUGAAGACAUGCCCAGAGAUGCCCAAAGAUGCCCAAUGGAUGAGCUGCUGCAACCUGUCUCAGCCAUGGGGGAUGGGAGAGGAAAGUGGAGAAAGGACAAAAAAAAAAAAAAACGAGUAGAGAGAAAAGAAGUGAAUAUGUAAUGCAAAAAUUAAAAUUACCUGAUAAGUCAGGACAUGGGAAGUUCUGCCUCCCUAAUGGGGACCCAGGAAGAUGUAGGAAGAGAAGUAAAGCCACUUUCUAAGGACAUGGAGAAAUUCAGAACACCAAGCCGCCCAGGUUUCCUGGCUCCCAGUCUUGGCACACAGUGCUCCACCUUGCUGGGUAAUUCAGCCACCUCUGAUGGGAGAAGCUCUUCAGUCUUCCAUCUGCCAGAGGCUAAGCUGCAGGAGGUACGUGGCCAUAAGAAACCCGUGACACCCUCCCCUGGAACUGUACCCACGUCCCACACGGACAGAUGCUUCACUCCUCCACUUCUUGGCAGUACUUCCUACAGCCCCUGGGUGAACUUCUCCAGCUGGCUGUGAUCGACCUCCAGAGGGCAUGACCGUGGCUGAGACUCAGCUUUUCAUGUUCCCAGCUCUGGCUUAGGGAGUCACCCCAAGGAAGCAGCAGAUUAAGGAGAAAUGUGGACGCAUCCUUCCUGAGUGUUGGUUCCCCCAGAGAGAUGACAGACCCCAUGGCCAGCACUUCAACAUAUAUUGAGCUGUGGGAAUUAGAAUCUAGGACAAUUUGGGAGAAAAAAGGCUUUUGUCUUUAAGGCGUUUACAGCUUAAGGAGAGGAUAUCAUAUUCCAUAGCUGUGACAAAUCAAAAAAUUAAAAGUAGUCUUUCCAAGGAUGGUUUCAGUAGUUUAGCCCUAAGGAGUGAGGAAUUUGUUUGGUUAGACAUACUGAAGAUGGAGACUAUACUUCUGAGAAUAAGCCUAAAGACUGUGAGUCUCGAAAGCCAAUUUACACACCACGCAGAAAACUGACGGGUCUCAGGAAAACUAAAAUGAGGAAAGCCAGCAGAGGCCCAGGCAGACGUCAAAUUAAUCUCUAGAAACAGAG